GAAUAUAAAUGAUGUUUGCAAGUUUGAUCUUUGCUCGGCUGUUGUCGAUGAUCUGGCAAACAAGGUACCCAAAUGGAAGAAAUCGUCAUCAUCCAAUUCACCUUCAGUUCAGGGCUGUGUCGCACUUUUAUUGAUAUAUUACUUGGACAACCUUUUUUGUCCUUCGCACAUGCUCAUAGAUGCAAAAGAAACUCCACGUGCUGUAUUGUUCAACAAGACAAUUGUCGACAAGCUUGCAAAGGCUGACAGGAAACAAUCCCAGGAUGACGGGACCGUCACAUAUGGCAAUCUCCCAUUUCGCAGCAAAGUAGGAACGUGCUAUGAAGAUGUGCGUGGCGAUGAUGCUCCCAGUCCCGAGGAGGUUGUGGCCCCUCCACCAAAGCGCAGUCGUGCAAAGACAAAGGAAGCUGCUGUCCCCAUCGCACCCAGCGCCCCUAG
Molecule: long non-coding RNA, 438 nt
Organism: Panicum virgatum (switchgrass)
Lineage: Eukaryota; Viridiplantae; Streptophyta; Magnoliopsida; Poales; Poaceae
Exons: 3
Source: RefSeq, a predicted model, not a curated record